UACGUAGGGUGCGAGCGUUGUCCGGAAUUAUUGGGCGUAAAGAGCUCGUAGGCGGUUUGUCGCGUCGGCCGUGAAAACUUGGGGCUUAACUCCAAGCUUGCGGUCGAUACGGGCAGACUUGAGUUCGGCAGGGGAGACUGGAAUUCAUGGUGUAGCAGUGAAAUGCGUAGAGAUCAUGAGGAAGACCAGUGGCGAAGGCGGGUCUCUGGACAGUUCCUGACACUGAGACACGAAGGCCAGGGGAGCAAACGGG
Molecule: ribosomal RNA, 253 nt
Filed under: uncultured bacterium
Lineage: Bacteria
Description: partial 16S ribosomal RNA
Rfam family: Bacterial small subunit ribosomal RNA
Source: RNAcentral